GCUGCUGCCCCAGGGACUCUCAGUCCCUGUCCCCACCCUGCUCUAUAUGGAGAAGAAGGGAUGUGACUAUACCAGGCAAGACAUCAUGUUUACUGAAACAUAAUGGAUUCUGAUAUCUAUUACUCAAUGGCAGAAACAGCAGCUGGACCCCCUGGAAGCUGCAAUGAAUCAUCAAGGUUUUGUUGUUGUUGUUGUUGUUGUUUGUUUUGUUUUUUUGCUUCACUUUGAAGACAGCAAUUUGUUAAAUCAUGGAGUACAAAAGAGUGAGAGAACCCAUAACUUUACUUUUAGAAAGUUUGGGAUAUAGUAGCCAGGUGAAAAGUAUUAUUCCCUUUGGCUCCAGAUCUGAGGAUUCUUCAUGUUCCCUCCGUUUAUUUUGUUUCCUGUGUUGGGUCUGUGUACUAAUCUAUUAUCUCCCAAGACCUGGGAAAGAUAACUGGCUGCCUUUCAGUGGGUAAAGUUAUCACUGGGCAAAACAAAAUGGAUUAAUAGCAACUGGAGAGAACUGAAAUUAAGUCUAUUGAAAGCUCUCAGUUACUAUUUUUAUGGCGAAUGAAGUGUUAGGUCAUGAAAUCUACACUGGAAUCAGACCAAAUGAAGACACCCUAGGUCUCUUAGUUGACAGAGUCAUAAUUCAUGUUUAAGAGUUCAAACACAUGUGGGUACUCAACACUUCUGAAAAUCAGGUCUUCAGCACUGAAGGACAUUUUAAUGGAGAGCUUAGAAAAUCAUUACCUCAUUGUGUCACUUGUUACUUCAGAGGCAGAUGUUCCUUUCAAAUGUAGGUUAAAAUAGUAGGCUUUUCUCUGCAUAAGUCACCCCAGUUUGAAUUGAUUCUAAUAGCCAUGUGGCUGGUAUCUGGAGUGAAAAAGCUUCACACAAAGGAUUCAUGGAUUUUCUUUAAAUUGUGCUUAUCUUUUUUGCUUUGUUAUGAAGGAGCAGGUCUAAAAAUGGUAUUAGUUCUACAUGAAAACAUUCAAACAGAAUAAAAACUGAAACAUUUUUGGUU
Molecule: long non-coding RNA, 1009 nt
Organism: Chrysemys picta bellii (western painted turtle)
Lineage: Eukaryota; Metazoa; Chordata; Testudines; Emydidae
Source: RefSeq, a predicted model, not a curated record